CCUACGGGUGGCAACAGUGGGGAAUAUUGCACAAUGGGGGAAACCCUGAUGCAGCGACGCCGCGUGAGUGAAGAAGUACUUCGUUAUGUAAAGCUCUAUCAGCAGGGAAGAAAAUGACGGUACCUGAGUAAGAAGCCACGGCUAACUACGUGCCAGCAGCCGCGGUAAUACGGAGGGGGCAAGCGUUAUCCGGAUUGACUGGGUGUAAAGGGAGCGUAGAAGGCAGGGCAAGUCUGGAGUGAAAGGCGGGGGCUAAACCCGGGAACUGCUCUGGAAACUGGCAGGCUGGAGUGCAGGAGAGGGAGGUGGAAUUCGAGGUGUAGCGGUGAAAUGCGUAGAGAUCAGGAGGAACACCGGUGGCGAAGGCGGCUCCCGGGACAAAAACUGACGUUGAGGGGCGAAAGCGUGGGGAGCAAACAGGAUUAGAUACCCUUGUAGUC
Molecule: ribosomal RNA, 440 nt
Filed under: uncultured bacterium
Lineage: Bacteria
Description: partial 16S ribosomal RNA
Rfam family: Bacterial small subunit ribosomal RNA
Source: RNAcentral